RNAcentral lists this microRNA precursor (61 nucleotides) under Pristionchus pacificus. RNAcentral describes it as "mir-8364 microRNA precursor family". It matches the Rfam family "mir-8364 microRNA precursor family". The record is from Rfam by way of RNAcentral. Lineage: Eukaryota; Metazoa; Nematoda; Chromadorea; Rhabditida; Neodiplogasteridae.
UGUUCAUUUCCCACACUCUCUCGCCUAUCUGACCGGUGAGAGAGUGUGGGAAAUGAAGAAA